Molecule: ribosomal RNA, 255 nt
Filed under: uncultured bacterium
Lineage: Bacteria
Description: partial 16S ribosomal RNA
Rfam family: Bacterial small subunit ribosomal RNA
Source: RNAcentral
UACGUAGGCAGCGAGCGUUGUUCGGAAUUACUGGGCGUAAAGAGUGUGUAGGCGGUGCUCUAAGUUCGGUGUGAAAUCUCCUGGCUCAACUGGGAGGGUGCGCCGGAAACUGGAGUGCUUGAGCGUGGGAGAGGAAAGCGGAAUUCCUGGUGUAGCGGUGAAAUGCGUAGAUAUCAGGAGGAACACCUGUGGUGUAGACGGCUUUCUGGACCAUAGCUGACGCUGAGGAGCGAAAAGUGUGGGGGAGCGAACAGG